GUAUCUUUUAUGGAUAAAGAUGUGUCUAUUUUUGCAAAGUGACAUAUGUGAUUAAGGAAUACAUGUUAGGGAAAGGUUAUGGAUGUUCAUGUCAAUGUAUUUAUGGUUUCAUGUAGAGUUUUGAUGCAUGGACACUAUUUACCAAAUGGGUUGUGCUCAUUUUGCUUAAACUUGUUUAUGGUUAUUUUUAUUAAUAGACCCCAUAAAUUUAACUGAAGUUUUCUUAAUCGCUUCCGCAAAUGUUCAUAAUUUUUUUUUAUUUAGAGCACUUUAUCUUGAGCCCAUUUGAUUAUGUAAGAAGACCUUGUUGGCUGGUCACGGGCCGUGAUUCCCUUUUAAAGGGUCUAAGGAUAGCGGGUCGUGACAGACUGGUAUCAGAGUACGCGUUAGUCCUGACCUAAGUUCAUAUGAGUUAGAAUCAUGUUUAACAAUGCAUUCAUGCAUGCACAAAUUUUAUUGAAUAAGUAUUGUUGAUGCGUAUAUUAGCUUUUUUUUAUACAUGCUCAAAUGUGUAAGAAUGUGUGGCGAUUUGGUAUAUGUUAUUGCAUAAUAUGUUUGUU
Molecule: long non-coding RNA, 560 nt
Organism: Rhododendron vialii
Lineage: Eukaryota; Viridiplantae; Streptophyta; Magnoliopsida; Ericales; Ericaceae
Exons: 2
Source: RefSeq, a predicted model, not a curated record